UACGAUUUUAAAGUGGGAAGCAGUUAUGCGGAAUGGUCUCGCCAAGAGCCGUCUAUUGAUAUAUUUUUCUCAAUCAAUGGCUGGCGCGUGGCGAGACCAAUCCGCAUAAAUGCUCCUCCCUUUAAAAUCGUAGAACUUGAAAAAUUCAU
Caenorhabditis elegans is the source of this 149-nucleotide non-coding RNA. The record is from Ensembl. Lineage: Eukaryota; Metazoa; Nematoda; Chromadorea; Rhabditida; Rhabditidae.